AUUAUUUCUCAUAGUGUAUAGAGUGAAAAUUCAAAGUGAAUUCACAUACAAAGCAAAUGAUGAGCAUUGGGGAAACAGUUAGUGUGAAGCAAGAGCCAAAUGAUAUCCUGUAGGGUAUAGGCGAUGAUUUUGUUUUCGACCCGAUCAACUCAUACAAAGUUAAAAAUGUUGAAACAUCGCCAUUUUAUGAAUCAUCAGCUGAUCACAUUAAUCAAGAUAAUAAAUUAGAUGAAAAAGUAUCCAUAGAAUUCGAGUGCAAAGAUGUUAAAUCUGAAUCGACGUCUCUAUCGAAAAACAUUUGCAAAUCUGAGAAUAUACAUUAUCCACCAGUUGAAGGAAUAAAUAACCAAGUUCAGACAAAGUACUUGAACCAUAAGGAUCCGAUAAUUUUGAUAAAAGAAGAAUUCGAUUAUGACGAUAACUAUCCACUUCCAGAAAAAUCCCAAUUGAAGUUAGGUGAACCCAAGAAAGUGAAAAUAUUUAAUGAAAAAACAAAAACCAUAUUGUCUCAUAAACUUAAUUGUUAUAAAAUAAUUUACA
Trichogramma pretiosum is the source of this 540-nucleotide long non-coding RNA. RefSeq lists it as uncharacterized. The transcript has 3 exons. The record is from RefSeq and is a predicted model, not a curated record. Lineage: Eukaryota; Metazoa; Arthropoda; Insecta; Hymenoptera; Trichogrammatidae.